Molecule: ribosomal RNA, 961 nt
Filed under: Escherichia coli
Lineage: Bacteria; Pseudomonadati; Pseudomonadota; Gammaproteobacteria; Enterobacterales; Enterobacteriaceae
Description: partial 23S ribosomal RNA
Rfam family: Bacterial large subunit ribosomal RNA
Source: RNAcentral
CUGAAACAUCUAAGUACCCCGAGGAAAAGAAAUCAACCGAGAUUCCCCCAGUAGCGGCGAGCGAACGGGGAGCAGCCCAGAGCCUGAAUCAGUAUGUGUGUUAGUGGAAGCGUCUGGAAAGGCGCGCGAUACAGGGUGACAGCCCCGUACACAAAAAUGCACAUGCUGUGAGCUCGAUGAGUAGGGCGGGACACGUGGUAUCCUGUCUGAAUAUGGGGGGACCAUCCUCCAAGGCUAAAUACUCCUGACUGACCGAUAGUGAACCAGUACCGUGAGGGAAAGGCGAAAAGAACCCCGGCGAGGGGAGUGAAAAAGAACCUGAAACCGUGUACGUACAAGCAGUGGGAGCACGCUUAGGCGUGUGACUGCGUACCUUUUGUAUAAUGGGUCAGCGACUUAUAUUCUGUAGCAAGGUUAACCGAAUAGGGGAGCCGAAGGGAAACCGAGUCUUAACUGGGCGUUAAGUUGCAGGGUAUAGACCCGAAACCCGGUGAUCUAGCCAUGGGCAGGUUGAAGGUUGGGUAACACUAACUGGAGGACCGAACCGACUAAUGUUGAAAAAUUAGCGGAUGACUUGUGGCUGGGGGUGAAAGGCCAAUCAAACCGGGAGAUAGCUGGUUCUCCCCGAAAGCUAUUUAGGUAGCGCCUCGUGAAUUCAUCUCCGGGGGUAGAGCACUGUUUCGGCAAGGGGGUCAUCCCGACUUACCAACCCGAUGCAAACUGCGAAUACCGGAGAAUGUUAUCACGGGAGACACACGGCGGGUGCUAACGUCCGUCGUGAAGAGGGAAACAACCCAGACCGCCAGCUAAGGUCCCAAAGUCAUGGUUAAGUGGGAAACGAUGUGGGAAGGCCCAGACAGCCAGGAUGUUGGCUUAGAAGCAGCCAUCAUUUAAAGAAAGCGUAAUAGCUCACUGGUCGAGUCGGCCUGCGCGGAAGAUGUAACGGGGCUAAACCAUGCAC